This is an RNA transcript of Zea mays, 872 nucleotides long. It is a transcript of the gene named succinate--CoA ligase [ADP-forming] subunit beta, pseudogene, with no coding region annotated. The transcript is spliced from 8 exons. NCBI's taxonomy places the organism in Eukaryota, Viridiplantae, Streptophyta, Magnoliopsida, Poales, Poaceae. The record is from RefSeq and is marked validated.
AGGGUGAUGGGGUGAUUGACCACAACUUCCUGGGCGGGCUCUGCUAGCUGAUCAAGUUUGUUUCUGACAUUGUUCCAGAGACUCCUCAGACGCAGCCUUUGGGUCCUUCUUAAGAGAGGAUCCUGGCAUUUUCGAUUUGAUAACAAAGGAAGCACUUUCAGCUGCAAAAAAAGAAAGCAGCAGUGAGGAUGAAGAUGACAGUAGUGAGGAAAGUUCGGAUGAUGAGCCAACAAAAGUUGAAGAAAAGAAGGCUCCAAAAGUAUCAGAAAAUAUUGGAUCUGAGGAUGAAUCUUCUGAAGACAAGAGUGAUAAAGACAGUGAAGAGCCUCAGCUCGCGAGCUGAACUGGCUCGCUCUGGCUCGCUCUUUUAUUGAGCCAGAAAAAACUCUGCUCGAGCUUGUUCUAAGCACAGUUUCUGGAUCGGAGGAGCAUCCCCGCCUAGGUCUCUGCAGCCAUGGUUCGCGGAUCGCUCGGCAAGCUUGCAUCGCGCGCCCUCUCCGUCGCCGGGAGAUGGCAGCACCAGCAGCUCCGCCGCCUCAACAUCCACGAGUACCAGGGCGCGGAGUUGAUGGGUAAAUACGGGAUCAACGUGCCCAGGGGCGCGGCGGCUGGGUCCGUACAUGAGGUCAAGGACGCCUUGAAGAACAUGUUCCCCAGCGAGAAAGAGAUAGUUGUUAAAAGUCAAAUCCUUGCUGGUGGCCGAGGGCUGGGAACUUUCAAAAGCGGACUGCAAGGUGGUGUCCAUAUUGUUAAGGCUGAGGAAGCUGAAUUGAUUGCAAGUAAAAUGUUAGGCCAGAUUCUGAUAACGAAACAAACUGGUCCAGAGGGAAAGAUUGUGAGCAAGGUCUACUUGUGUGAGAAACUAUCUCUUA